This 28-nucleotide non-coding RNA is filed under the name Homo sapiens (human). Lineage: Eukaryota; Metazoa; Chordata; Mammalia; Primates; Hominidae. The record is from RNAcentral.
UGCCAACUCGGCCAAAGGCUAAGCCAGC